This 254-nucleotide ribosomal RNA is filed under the name uncultured prokaryote. RNAcentral describes it as "partial 16S ribosomal RNA". It matches the Rfam family "Bacterial small subunit ribosomal RNA", at positions 524 to 776 of the family's 1533-position model. The record is from RNAcentral.
GACGAACCGUGCGAACGUUAUUCGGAAUCACUGGGCUUAAAGCGCGUGUAGGCGGAUGGCCGCGUCCGUUGCUGAAAGCCCCCGGCUCAACCGGGGGAUGGGCGCGGAUACGGGCCGUCUGGAGGGGCGUAGGGGGAGCUGGAACUCACGGUGGAGCGGUGAAAUGCGUUGAGAUCGUGAGGAACGCCCGCGGCGAAAGCGAGCUCCUGGACGCUUACUGACGCUGAGACGCGAAAGCCAGGGGAGCGAACGGG